UGCAAGUCGUACGAGAAAGUCCGCUUCGGUGGAUAAGUAAAGUGGCGCACGGGUGAKUAACGCGUGGAUAAUCUACCCUCUAGUUGGGAAUAACUCAUCGAAAGGUGGGCUAAUACCGAAUGAUACUGCAUAACUACUGUUGUACAGUCAAAGAAGGCCUCUGUUUACAAGCUUUUGCUGAAGGAUGAGUCCGCGUACCAUUAGCUAGUUGGUAGGGUAAUGGCCUACCAAGGCGACGAUGGUUAGCUGGUCUGAGAGGAUGAUCAGCCACACUGGAACUGAGACACGGUCCAGACUCCUACGGGAGGCAGCAGUGAGGAAUAUUGCGCAAUGGGGGCAACCCUGACGCAGCAACGCCSCGUGAGUGAGGAAGGUUUUCGGAUCGUAAAGCUCUGUCGAGCGGGAAGAAAUGUGUGGUGGCUAAUAUCCAUCAUGUUUGACGGUACCGCUAAAGGAAGCACCGGCUAACUCCGUGCCAGCAGCCGCGGUAAUACGGGGGGUGCGAGCGUUGUUCGGAAUUAUUGGGCGUAAAGAGCGUGUAGGCGGCUGGAUAAGUCAGAUGUGAAAGCCCUGGGCUUAACCCAGGAAGUGCAUUUGAAACUGUCCGGCUUGAGUAAGGGAGAGGAAAGUGGAAUUCCUGGUGUAGAGGUGAAAUUCGUAGAUAUCAGGAGGAACACCGGUGGCGAAGGCGACUUUCUGGCCCUAUACUGACGCUGAGACGCGAGAGCGUGGGUAGCAAACAGGAUUAGAUACCCUGGUAGUCCA
RNAcentral lists this ribosomal RNA (765 nucleotides) under uncultured bacterium. Its description in RNAcentral is "bacterial SSU rRNA". It matches the Rfam family "Bacterial small subunit ribosomal RNA", at positions 56 to 797 of the family's 1533-position model. The record is from RNAcentral.